AAAAACCUCCUCCCAUGCCAAAAGGAGGAGUGAUGACAUUGUUGGCGCAUAAAUACAAUCAUAUUUUCAUUCAAUAGAUUCAUGUUAAAUGUUUGUUUUUCCAAUUAUUUUCCCUUUUUGUUUUUUACAUGAAACUAGUGAUCAUAUAAAACCUAAAAAAAAUAAGAAUAAAAUCAAUCUUUUCAUCUGCAUAAUGAUUGCCUUGUUUGAAUUCUAAAGCUUUUCAUAUCCAAAAUCAUUAUGCAGGUUAAUCAAACCCAUUGAACAUAAUGACCCAACACCAUCUCCCAAUAAUCUUUUCAUCUGCAUAAUGAUUGCCUUGUUUGAAUUCUAAAGCUUUUCAUAUCCAAAAUCAUUAUGCAGGUUAAUCAAAC
This 374-nucleotide long non-coding RNA is filed under the name Lathyrus oleraceus (garden pea). RNAcentral describes it as "Pisum sativum (pea) long non-coding RNA (PSAT_LNC002808)". Lineage: Eukaryota; Viridiplantae; Streptophyta; Magnoliopsida; Fabales; Fabaceae. The record is from RNAcentral.